RNAcentral lists this ribosomal RNA (1240 nucleotides) under metagenome. Its description in RNAcentral is "bacterial LSU rRNA". It matches the Rfam family "Bacterial large subunit ribosomal RNA", at positions 1564 to 2815 of the family's 2925-position model. The record is from RNAcentral.
UGAAUACGAGAUGCUACGGCGUCGAAGCAGUCUAUGUCAUACUUCCAAGAAAAGCUUGCACUGUCAUAAACAAAUAAUGCCUGUACCAUAACCGACACAGGUGGGUAGGUAGAGUAUACUAAGGGGCGCGAGAUAACUCUCUCUAAGGAACUCGGCAAAAUGACUCCGUAACUUCGGGAGAAGGAGUGCCUUAUUUUUAAGGUUGCAAUAACAAGAUCCAAGCAACUGUUUACCAAAAACACAGGUCUCCGCUAAGUCGUAAGACGAUGUAUGGGGGCUGACGCCUACCCAGUGCCAGAAGGUUAAAGAAGUUGGUUAGCAUCCGCGAAGCUGAUAACUGAAGCCUGGUGAACGGCGGCCGUAACUAUAACGGUCCUAAGGUAGCGAAAUUCCUUGUCGGGUAAGUUCCGACCCGCACGAAAGGCAUAAUGAUUUGGAUACUGUCUCGGAGAGGGGCUCGGUGAAAUAGACUUGUCUGUGAAGAUGCGGACUACCUGCACCAGGACAGAAAGACCCUAUGAAGCUUUACUGUAACCUGAAAUUGAAAUUGGACUUUACUUGCGCAGUAUAGGUGGGAGGCGUUGAGAAUAUUCUUGCGGGAUUAUUGGAGCCAUCAGUGAGAUACCACUCUUGUAAUGUUAGAUUUCUAACUUUGUAUCAUUAUCUGGUCAAAGAACAGUUUCAGGCGGGCAGUUUGACUGGGGCGGUCGCCUCCUAAACGGUAACGGAGGCGCACAAGGGUUUCCUCUGAACGGGUAGAAAUCGUAUCUAGAGUGUAAAGGCAUAAGGAAGCUUGACUGUGAGACCUACAAGUCGAGCAGGGACGAAAGUCGGUCUUAGUGAUCUGACGGUGCUGAGUGGAAAGGCCGUCACUCAACGGAUAAAAGUUACUCUAGGAUAACAGGCUGAUCUCCCCCAAGAGUUCACAUCGACGGGGAGGUUUGGCACCUCGAUGUCGGCUCAUCGCAUCCUGGGGCGGUAGUACGUCCCAAGGGUUGGGCUGUUCGCCCAUGAAAGCGGUACGCGAGCUGGGUUCAGAACGUCGUGAGACAGUUCGGUCCAUAUCCGGUGUAGGCGUUAGAAUAUUGAGAGGAGCCUUCUUUAGUACGAGAGGACCGAGAAGGACAUACCUCUGGUGUACCAGUUAUCGUGCCAACGGUAAACGCUGGGUAGCUAUGUGUGGAGUGGAUAACCGCUGAAAGCAUCUAAGUGGGAAGCCCACCUCAAGAUAAGUAUUCUC